This 484-nucleotide ribosomal RNA is filed under the name uncultured bacterium. Its description in RNAcentral is "partial 16S ribosomal RNA". It matches the Rfam family "Bacterial small subunit ribosomal RNA", at positions 30 to 507 of the family's 1533-position model. The record is from RNAcentral.
AUUGAACGCUGGCGGCAGGCCUAACACAUGCAAGUCGAGCGGAAGAAGGGAGCUUGCUCCUGGAUUCAGCGGCGGACGGGUGUGUAAUGCCUAGGAAUCUGCCUGGUAGUGGGGGAUAACGUCCGGAAACGGGCGCUAAUACCGCAUACGUCCUGAGGCAGAAAGUGGGGGAUCUUCGGACCUCACGCUAUCAGAUGAGCCUAGGUCGGAUUAGCUAGCUGGUGGGGUAAAGGCCUACCAAGGCGACGAUCCGUAACUGGUCUGAGAGGAUGAUCAGUCACACUGGAACUGAGACACGGUCCAGACUCCUACGGGAGGCAGCAGUGGGGAAUAGUGGACAAUGGGCGGAAGCCUGAUCCAACCAUGCCGCGUGUGUGGAGAAGAUCUUCGGAGUGUGAAGCACUUUAAGUUGGGAGGAAGGGCAGUAAGUUAAUACCUUGCUGUAUUGACGUUACCAACAGAAUAAGCACCGGCUAACUUCGUG